Long non-coding RNA from Engraulis encrasicolus (European anchovy), 1476 nucleotides. RefSeq lists it as uncharacterized. The record is from RefSeq and is a predicted model, not a curated record. The transcript has 2 exons. NCBI's taxonomy places the organism in Eukaryota, Metazoa, Chordata, Actinopteri, Clupeiformes, Engraulidae.
AUGAUGGUGAUGGACAACCAGCAUCAGGACCAGGGCGGCUCCAUGCCUCACGAGGACAACCUUGUGUCCUGCCUCUCCAUCCUCAACCUUACAUCUUCCUGCUCUUCACACAUGUGCAGACACAGAGACAGUUUUCAGAGGGAGCGCUGAUGACACUAGCAACUUUGGAUCUGAACCUGAUCAACCCAGCACCAACCACUGUGCCUCUCCUCCUCAGCCAACUGCACCACAUGACUCCACCAUAUCCAAAAGGUGCAGACACCACUCCACUUCCUGCGAAGGAUGAGAAGAGCAGACCUCUCCACAUCUGCACUCACCACUUUCUACAGGGGUGCCUUUGCGAGCAUCCUGAGAGCAGCUUCUCUGUCUGGCAUGGCAGCCGUCUAGCUGAAGACUACAAGGCGCUACAUAGGGUAGUGACUAGUGAGGACGGCAGAUCACCCCUACCAGCCAUUCAGGUACACUUCACACUGUUCCAAGAGGGCAGUCAACAUCAUCACAGAAACACCUCACCCACCACACAGACUGUUCCCCCUUCUACCAUCAGGGAAGCGCUACCACAGCAUGCGGUGCCGCACGAGCACACUGGGAAACAGCUUCUUUCCACAAGCCAUCAGACUUUUCAACACACUGAAGAAAACCACAUGAAUAUUUCAAGGACGCUAUCCCAACUCUUCUUUCACCAUGCCACUUAGAUUUUAGUCAUUGCACCUUGUAUACAGCAUCUGCUCUACUUCAAAUCACCUGCAUGACCACUGACUGUACUCCUGCUGCCGUGUUUGUGUGCAAGCGCGCAUGUGUGCAUUUGUGUAAUUAUUGUCAAUUGGUAUGUAAAUCUUCUUAUUGCACACUGUGUGUGUGUGUGUGUGUGUGUGUGUGUGUGUGUGUGUGUGUGUGUGUGUGUGUGUGUGUGUGUGUGUGUGUGUGUGUGUGUGUGUGUGUCAGUGGGUCUAUUUAUUGUAUGACUCAGUCUGUAUUUUUCACUGCUUGCGUGAGUGAAUGUGGCAAAGAAAGAGUUAGUUUACUCCAUGUUGUGUGUGUGUGAGAGAGAUUAUUGUCAGUGUCUUAUUUUUAUGUUUAGUUUAACUGCACAUUGGAGACUGGUCAAACAAUUUCAAACUUUUGUGCUAACCCUGUUCCAUAUGUUUUUGAACAAGUGCACUUGACUAUUUUUUAUCCUUUUAGUGUCUGUAUGCCUUCAGCUGUAGGCAAUACGGAUAUGUUCCAUGUAUAUUAUGUAUUCCAUCUGCCUGUGUACAUUUGUGGGUGUGCAUUUGAUAGUGUGCAAUGCAUUGCAAUAUCUGUUAUGUUGUAGACUGGUAGAAACUUUAAUUCCACAGCUAUCAACACAUCAGACAAAUGAGUGCUGCUCUAAGUGUGGUAGUUGAGUGCUGUUCUACUGCUAUUCCACUAUGAAUAUGAGAGGGUGAGGUGACUGUUUAGAAUAUAAGCUUGAAAAUAAAUUGUUACAUUUCA